GGAAUGCGAAUGGCUCAUUAAAUCAGUUAUCGUUUAUUUGAUAGUACCUUACUACAUGGAUACCUGUGGUAAUUCUAGAGCUAAUACAGGCUAAAAACCUCGACUUCGGAAGGGGUGUAUUUAUAAGAUAAAAAACCAAUGCCCUUCGGGGCUCUCUGGUGAUUCAUAAUAACUUCUCGAAUCGCAUGGCCUUGCGCCGGCGAUGGUUCAUUCAAAUUUCUGCCCUAUCAACUUUCGAUGGUAGGAUAGUGGCCUACCAUGGUGGCAACGGGUAACGGGGAAUUAGGGUUCGAUUCCGGAGAGGGAGCCUGAGAAACGGCUACCACAUCCAAGGAAGGCAGCAGGCGCGCAAAUUACCCAAUCCCGAUCCGGGGAGGUAGUGACAAUAAAUACUGAUACAGGGCUCUUUUGGGUCUUGUAAUUGGAAUGAGAACAAUUUAAACCCCUUAACGAGGAACAAUUGGAGGGCAAGUCUGGUGCCAGCAGCCGCGGUAAUUCCAGCUCCAAUAGCGUAUAUUAAAGUUGUUGCAGUUAAAAAGCUCGUAGUUGAACCUUGGGCCUGGCUGGCCGGUCCGCCUCACGGCGUGCACUGGUCCGGCUGGGCCUUUCCUUCUGGGGAACCCCAUGGCCUUCACUGGCCGUGGGCGGAACCAGGACUUUUACUGUGAAAAAAUUAGAGUGUUCAAAGCAGGCCUUUGCUCGGAUACAUUAGCAUGGAAUAAUAGAAUAGGACGUGUGGUUCUAUUUUGUUGGUUUCUAGGACCGCCGUAAUGAUUAAUAGGGAUAGUCGGGGGCGUCAGUAUUCGGCUGUCAGAGGCGAACAUCCUUGGAUUCGCUGACCACUAACUACUGCG
Molecule: ribosomal RNA, 854 nt
Filed under: Nannizzia gypsea
Lineage: Eukaryota; Fungi; Ascomycota; Eurotiomycetes; Onygenales; Arthrodermataceae
Description: SSU rRNA
Rfam family: Eukaryotic small subunit ribosomal RNA
Source: RNAcentral